Molecule: ribosomal RNA, 468 nt
Filed under: uncultured bacterium
Lineage: Bacteria
Description: partial 16S ribosomal RNA
Rfam family: Bacterial small subunit ribosomal RNA
Source: RNAcentral
GACGAACGCUGGCGGCGUGCUUAACACAUGCAAGUCGAACGGAAAGGCCCUGCUUUUGUGGGGUGCUCGAGUGGCGAACGGGUGAGUAACACGUGAGUAACCUGCCCUUGACUUUGGGAUAACUUCAGGAAACUGGGGCUAAUACCGGAUAGGAGCUCCUGCUGCAUGGUGGGGGUUGGAAAGUUUCGGCGGUUGGGGAUGGACUCGCGGCUUACCAGCUUGUUGGUGGGGUAGUGGCUUACCAAGGCUUUGACGGGUAGCCGGCCUGAGAGGGUGACCGGCCACAUUGGGACUGAGAUACGGCCCAGACUCCUACGGGAGGCAGCAGUGGGGAAUAUUGCACAAUGGGCGGAAGCCUGAUGCAGCAACGCCGCGUGCGGGAUGACGGCCUUCGGGUUGUAAACCGCUUUCGCCUGUGACGAAGCGUGCGUGACGGUAAUGGGUAAAGAAGCACCGGCUAACUACGUG